ACUCCUACGGGAGGCAGCAGUGGGGAAUAUUGCGCAAUGGGCGAAAGCCUGACGCAGCCAUGCCGCGUGUGUGAAGAAGGCCCUUCGGGUUGUAAAGCACUUUCAAUUGGGAAGAAAAGCUGCUGCUAAUAAGCAUCAGCUGUGACAUUACCUUUAGAAGAAGCACCGGCUAACUCCGUGCCAGCAGCCGCGGUAAUACGGAGGGUGCGAGCGUUAAUCGGAAUUACU
RNAcentral lists this ribosomal RNA (228 nucleotides) under uncultured bacterium. RNAcentral's name for it is "partial 16S ribosomal RNA". It matches the Rfam family "Bacterial small subunit ribosomal RNA", at positions 335 to 555 of the family's 1533-position model. The record is from RNAcentral.